RNAcentral lists this ribosomal RNA (253 nucleotides) under uncultured bacterium. Its description in RNAcentral is "partial 16S ribosomal RNA". It matches the Rfam family "Bacterial small subunit ribosomal RNA", at positions 524 to 776 of the family's 1533-position model. The record is from RNAcentral.
UACGAAGGGGGCUAGCGUUGUUCGGAAUUACUGGGCGUAAAGGGCGCGUAGGCGGUGUGUCAAGUCAGGCGUGAAAGCCCCGGGCUUAACCUGGGAACAGCGCAUGAAACGGUAUACCUAGAGGACGAGAGAGGAAAGCGGAAUUCCUGGUGUAGCGGUGAAAUGCGCAGAUAUCAGGAGGAACACCGAUGGCGAAGGCAGGUCUCUGGGCAUUAACUGACGCUGAGGAGCGAAAGCAUGGGGAGCGAACAGG